AGGACCGUAGUUUAACGGUAGAACAGAGGUCUCCAAAACCUCUAGUAGGGGUUCGAUUCCCUUCGGUCCUG
Molecule: transfer RNA, 71 nt
Filed under: Candidatus Beckwithbacteria bacterium
Lineage: Bacteria; Candidatus Beckwithiibacteriota
Description: tRNA-Trp
Rfam family: tRNA
About the family: Transfer RNA (tRNA) molecules are approximately 80 nucleotides in length. Their secondary structure includes four short double-helical elements and three loops (D, anti-codon, and T loops).
Source: RNAcentral